GGGAUCUUAGCAUAAUGGUAAUGCAAUUGACUUUUAAUCAUUCGAAUAUUGGUUUGAAUCCGAUAGAUCCCA
Transfer RNA from Chaetomium globosum CBS 148.51, 72 nucleotides. It matches the Rfam family "tRNA". From Rfam's summary of the family: Transfer RNA (tRNA) molecules are approximately 80 nucleotides in length. Their secondary structure includes four short double-helical elements and three loops (D, anti-codon, and T loops). Further hydrogen bonds mediate the characteristic L-shaped molecular structure. tRNAs have two regions of fundamental functional importance: the anti-codon, which is responsible for specific mRNA codon recognition, and the 3' end, to which the tRNAs corresponding amino acid is attached (by aminoacyl-tRNA synthetases). tRNAs cope with the degeneracy of the genetic code in two manners: having more than one tRNA (with a specific anti-codon) for a particular amino acid; and 'wobble' base-pairing, i.e. permitting non-standard base-pairing at the 3rd anti-codon position. The record is from Rfam. Lineage: Eukaryota; Fungi; Ascomycota; Sordariomycetes; Sordariales; Chaetomiaceae.